CGGACGGGUGAGUAACGCGUGAGAAUCUGCCCUCAGGAGGGGGACAACAGCUGGAAACGGCUGCUAAUACCCCAUAUGCCAAAAGGUGAAACGAUUUUUCGCCUGAGGAUGAGCUCGCGUCUGAUUAGCUGGUUGGUGGGGUAACGGCCUACCAAGGCUUCGAUCAGUAGCUGGUCUGAGAGGACGAUCAGCCACACUGGGACUGAGACACGGCCCAGACCCCUACGGGAGGCAGCAGUAGGGAAUUUUCCGCAAUGGGCGAAAGCCUGACGGAGCAACGCCGCGUGAGGGACUAAGGCCUUUGGGCUGUAAACCUCUUUUCUCAAGGAAGAAGAUCUGACGGUACUUGAGGAAUAAGCCACGGCUAAUUCCGUGCCAGCAGCCGCGGUAAUACGGGAGUGGCAAGCGUUAUCCGGAAUUAUUGGGCGUAAAGCGUCCGCAGGCGGCCAAGCAAGUCUGUUGUUAAAGCGUGGAGCUCAACUCCAUCACUGCAAUGGAAACUGCUAGGCUUGAGUGUGGCAGGGGCAGAGGGAAUUUCCGGUGUAGCGGUGAAAUGCGUAGAUAUCGGGAGGAACACCAGUGGCGAAAGCGCUCUGCUGGGCCAUUACUGACGCUCAUGGACGAAAGCCAGGGGAGCAAAAGGGAUUAGAUACCCCAGUAGUC
Molecule: ribosomal RNA, 663 nt
Filed under: uncultured cyanobacterium
Lineage: Bacteria; Bacillati; Cyanobacteriota
Description: bacterial SSU rRNA
Rfam family: Bacterial small subunit ribosomal RNA
Source: RNAcentral